RNAcentral lists this transfer RNA (77 nucleotides) under Kiritimatiellia bacterium. RNAcentral's name for it is "Kiritimatiellae bacterium (gut metagenome) tRNA-Ile". It matches the Rfam family "tRNA". From Rfam's summary of the family: Transfer RNA (tRNA) molecules are approximately 80 nucleotides in length. Their secondary structure includes four short double-helical elements and three loops (D, anti-codon, and T loops). RNAcentral also lists the same sequence under 1 other name. The record is from RNAcentral. Lineage: Bacteria; Pseudomonadati; Kiritimatiellota; Kiritimatiellia.
GGACCGGUAGCUCAGUCGGUCAGAGCGGGGGACUCAUAAUCCCUUGGUCGUGGGUUCAAGUCCCGCCCGGUCCACCA